CAAGUCGAACGAAUCCCCGGGAGCUUGCUCUCGGGGGAAAGUGGCGAACGGGGCAGUAAGGCGUGGGUAACCUACCCCAGGGAUCGGGAUAGCCACCCUAACGGGUGGGUAAUACCGGGCGAGGUGGUCCGAGGGCAUCCUCGGGACACGAAAGGAAUUUCGCCUUGGGAGGGGCUCACGUGGUAUUAGCUUGUUGGUGGGGUAACGGCCCACCAAGGCCAAGAUGCCUAGCGGGUGUGCGAGCACGACCCGCGCCACUGGCGCUGCGACACUGGCCAGACUCCUACGGGAGGCUGCAGUCGAGGAUCUUCGGCAAUGGGCGCAAGCCUGACCGAGCGACGCCGCGUGUGCGAUGAAGGCCUUCGGGUUGUAAAGCACUGUCGAGGGGAAGGAAAGCCCGCAAGGGUCUGACCUACCCCUGGAGGAAGCACGGGCUAAGUUCGUGCCAGCAGCCGCGGUAAGACGAACCGUGCGAACGUUGUUCGGAUUCACUGGGCUUAAAGGGCGCGUAGGCGGGCGAUCCAGUCGGGGGUGAAAGUUUUCGGCUCAACCGGAAAAGGGCCUCUGAUACGGGUCGUCUCGAGGGAGGUAGGGGCAUGCGGAACUUCCGGUGGAGCGGUGAAAUGCGUAGAUAUCGGAAGGAACGCCGGUGGCGAAAGCGGCGUGCUGGACCUCUUCUGACGCUGAGGCGCGAAAGCCAGGGGAGCGAACGGGAUUAGAUACCCCGGUAGUCCUGGCCCUAAACGAUGGGUACUAGGUAGUGGACUUGACAUGGGUUCACUGCCGAAGCCAAAGUGUUAAGUACCCCGCCU
RNAcentral lists this ribosomal RNA (812 nucleotides) under uncultured bacterium. Its description in RNAcentral is "bacterial SSU rRNA". It matches the Rfam family "Bacterial small subunit ribosomal RNA", at positions 58 to 874 of the family's 1533-position model. The record is from RNAcentral.